RNA transcript from Papaver somniferum (opium poppy), 2420 nucleotides. It is a transcript of the gene named F-box protein CPR1-like, with no coding region annotated. The record is from RefSeq and is a predicted model, not a curated record. NCBI's taxonomy places the organism in Eukaryota, Viridiplantae, Streptophyta, Magnoliopsida, Ranunculales, Papaveraceae. The transcript has 3 exons.
AAACCAGCUUUCAAUCAAUUUAUUUAUGUUUUCAAUUUCAUGUUUGAAACCCUCAAAAUCGUUGAAAUGAAACCCUAAUUCUGUAUAAGAAUCAUAAUCUCUUUCUCAUAUUUUUUUUUUUACAAUGGCAACCGGACUCCCAGAAGAGAUGAUGAUCAAUAUACUCUCGUGCUUGCCGGUGAAAUCUAUCUUAAGAUUCAGGUGUGUAUGCAAGACUUGGCGUGAUUUAUUCAAAAGCCCUGAUUUCACUCGGAUGCACCUUAAUCGUUCUAAGGAGAACAAUCACCUCAAUUUCAUGCUUAGUGAUGGCAAAGAAAUGUACUUCGUACAUAACGAUGAAUCAUCUUUGACAGAAUCGUUUGAUAAAGCUAUACAGGUACAUCACCCAUUGAAAUCUUCUGAAACAAGUGUUCAAAUUUUGGCGUUUUGUGAUGGUUUGUUUUGCUUAGAUAAAGGAUAUUCGAAAACUUUGAUUUGCCUUUGGAACCCAUGUACCGGUGAAUACAAGGAGAUACCAGCACCACCACCACCAAUCGAAUUUCCGAAUCAUUUAUUGGCUCAGACAAGGGAGUUUAGGCAGAUGAGAAUCGGUGAACACAGAACCUCUUAUGGAUUUGGUUACGACUGCAACAUCAAGGAUUAUAAGUUGGUGCGAAUUGUGGACCUCAUUAGCCAUGGUUCCGAGGUCCAGGUCUAUACAUUAGGGUCGAAUGCGUGGAGAUCAAUUGCCAAUAUUCCUUAUAACAUUGCCUAUCAAGAACCACAUGGUAUACUUGUUAAUACAACUCUACAUUGGAGUGCACGCAAAUCUUCCACGCAGCUCCAUUCAAUUAUUUCUUUUCAUAUUGAAAGUGAGAGUUUCGAGGAAGUGCCGUUACUGCAAGCAGAAAAUUUUGAUGAUACGCACCAGAUUAGUCUGUGUGUUUCUGGAAGAUGUCUUUGCAUACUUACUCAUCAUCAUAAGGUUCGGACUGAUGUAUGGGUGAUGAAGGAAUAUGGGGUGAGACAUUCUUGGACUAAGCUUUUCAGCAUAACUCAGCAGACGGUUCUCGACUCAUUUUACUUGAUGCCUGUACUAUUUAUCAAGAAUGAUGUGGUUCUGUUAGAUCAAAAUUACCAUUCUGGUCUACUUUUGUAUGACCCAAAACAUGAAAAUGAUAUCAUUGAUUUUGACCUGCAAAUGCUUAGGAUUACACCUUAUGUUGGUUGCUUAGUGUCACUUAAUUCAGGUACGUAUGUGGGUCAAGGAAAAAGAGAGGAAGUAAUUGAACAAAAGAUGAUGCUCAGGAGAAUAAGCAAGAGGCGGCGUUUAUGAGAAGCAAAGAUAUGGUCCAUAUGGAAAGGAGAAAAUGCUUUUACAAUGUGGGCGUCGGGAGUUAGGCUGUGUGUUAGUGCACUGCGUACAUGGUUCCAUUUCGAAUGGUGGUGAAAUUAAUGCUUGACACUGCAUCUGCAAUUUGAGUUAGGUUUAUUAGCAUUUAUCAUAUGAGAUGUUCCUCUUCCAGUUACUUUCCUCUGUAUGAAAUACUCCAAUGAACCUUCUUUCCUUUUUAAAGAAUCUGGAACACAAACCCAAAUCAUCAAGCUUCAGCAUGUCCGGCAACCCAAAGAACAUGCCAUGAAAAAGUAGACUAUUGGAAAAGAGGUUACCGUAUAUUUGCACAUCCUCUAGGCUGGCUUAACUUCUCCUGUCAUCCUAUGGUACAUAUUUUAUACUGGGUGAUCCUUUCUUAGGAGUUAGAAAUUGGAACUUGGACUCGGUGAUGACUUUAAAACUUGUAAACCUAAUGAGAUUGUCUUUCUAUUCAUUGGAUAGAUGCGAGGUUCAAGAAAGGUGGAUGGUUGCCUUGUGGUAUUCUGACGAUUAAUAUCUAUAUUCAGGAUGUUUAUCACUUCGUUUUAGAUACCGUGACGGACAUGACCUGUCUUGUUUGUUCAAUGUUAAGAGUAAUAUACUAUUAUGGAUUUCAAUUGGCAGCACCGGUGAACCAAAAAACCCUUAUGAAGCUUUGAUAAUAGCUGGUGCACAAUUACACUCUUUUGGUGUUAUUUGGAGGAAACUUUUGAGAUGAGUUUUGCUUCAGGGGAAUCUGGCAAUUUUUGAGAGUGCAGUUUUUGCUUCAGGAGACCUUCGAUGUACAAUAAAUCAUUUAUAUAGGCUUGGGCCUUGAUAUACUGGUAUGUAUAUGGGCUUGGAACGAAGAAAAACGAAACAGCGUUGGUUGCAUAAUGCGUUAUACAUCGGCGAUGUAGUCUUUUUUAGGUGAAAGUAUCACGUUUCCUGAUUUUUGCUAUCAGCGGUGUUUCAUUUUUUUUGUUGGAAUAAUAUUUCACUUUCCUCAAACGGAGUGAAAAUAUCACUUUAAAAUAUGGCUGCGUAAUGUGUUAUGCAUCCUUUGUGGCAAUGCAUUCAAUUUUCG